GCCUGGUUAACUCAGUCGGUAGAUCAUUAGACUUUUAAUCUGAGGGUCGGGGGUUCAAGUCCCCCAUCGGGUG
RNAcentral lists this transfer RNA (73 nucleotides) under Schistosoma margrebowiei. It matches the Rfam family "tRNA". Rfam says of the family: Transfer RNA (tRNA) molecules are approximately 80 nucleotides in length. Their secondary structure includes four short double-helical elements and three loops (D, anti-codon, and T loops). Lineage: Eukaryota; Metazoa; Platyhelminthes; Trematoda; Strigeidida; Schistosomatidae. The record is from Rfam by way of RNAcentral.